GUACACGCUGUGACUAGCAUAUCAAUAAGCGGAGGAAAAGAAACUAACAAGGAUUCCCCUAGUAACGGCGAGUGAAGCGGGAAGAGCUCAAAUUUGAAAUCUUAAAGGGUUUCCCUUUACGAAUUGUAGUUUAAAGAAGUGUUUUCUGUUGAGGUUUUGGUAAAAGUUCUUUGGAAUAGGACAUCAUAGAGGGUGAGAAUCCCGUAUUUGACCUUUACUUUCAACUUUGUGAUACACUUUCAAAGAGUCGGAUUGUUUGGGAAUGCAGUCCAAAGUGGGUGGUAAAUUUCAUCUAAAGCUAAAUAUUGGCGAGAGACCGAUAGCGAACAAGUACCGUGAGGGAAAGAUGAAAAGAACUUUGAAAAGAGAGUUAAACAGUACGUGAAAUUGUCAAAAGGGAAGCGUUUGACACCAGUGUUGUUUUUCUGAAAAUCAAUUAAAGAACUGUUUAUGCUAAGCUUGUUUAGACUUUAUCAGCUAUCUGUUUAGUUUUGAGCUUUUCUUUAAUGCACUUUUCAGUUAACAAGUCAACAUCAAUUUCUUUUGCUGUAAAAAAGCUUGAGGAAGGUGGCUUGAGAUUCGUCUUAAGUGUUUAUAGCCUCUUGCCUAUGCAGUCGGAGAGAUUGAGGUCUGCAGCGUAGAUCCUUCGGGGCUAAAUGCAUUUGUGCUAAGUUAUAGCAUUUUAUAGACAACUUGUUGACUAUGAUUUGUCUUGUAGCUUACUCGCUUAUGUUAUUUUACCUACGCUUAGGAUGUUGACUGAUAUGUAGUCGUA
RNAcentral lists this ribosomal RNA (775 nucleotides) under uncultured Neocallimastigales. RNAcentral describes it as "partial large subunit ribosomal RNA". It matches the Rfam family "Eukaryotic large subunit ribosomal RNA", at positions 22 to 644 of the family's 3401-position model. Lineage: Eukaryota; Fungi; Neocallimastigomycota; Neocallimastigomycetes; Neocallimastigales. The record is from RNAcentral.